CACGUAGGGUGCGAGCGUUGUCCGGAAUUAUUGGGCGUAAAGAGCUCGUAGGCGGUGUGUCGCGUCGGCCGUGAAAACCUGCAGCUUAACUGUGGGCUUGCGGUCGAUACGGGCAUCACUGGAGUUCGGCAGGGGAGACUGGAAUUCCUGGUGUAGCGGUGAAAUGCGCAGAUAUCAGGAGGAACACCAAUGGCGAAGGCAGCUCGCUGGAACGGUACUGACGCUGAGGCGCGAAAGCGUGGGGAGCGAACAGG
RNAcentral lists this ribosomal RNA (254 nucleotides) under uncultured bacterium. RNAcentral describes it as "partial 16S ribosomal RNA". It matches the Rfam family "Bacterial small subunit ribosomal RNA", at positions 524 to 776 of the family's 1533-position model. The record is from RNAcentral.